AGGGGUAAGACACCGUGCCUGGCCACUAAUAAUAAUAAUUUAAAAAUUUCUGAAAAUGAUUCUGCAUCUGCCAAAUGUGCUGCAUGAAUUCUCAGCAUAACUCAGUGACACAGUUUAAUCCCCAUUUUCCAGAUGCGAAAAUUGAGAUUCAGAGCAGUGUAAUGAACCGAGCUCACACCGCUGGUAGGUGGAGCAGGUGUGCGUGUUUUGUGCUCAUGUAGGGGGUUGGGGAGUGUUCCAGCCAGCCUCUGUGCACCUGGGGUGGGGGUGGAAUGAGGAGGGGGUUGUUGUGAGCCUGAGGGUCGCACUGUCUGUGGUUCUCUCCUUCCUGUCAGCUGAGCCCAGCUCCAGACUCAAGAGGAACGGCUGGGGUGAUACCAUCUCCUGGUUUCUGCGGGGGUGUAUGUGAGUUCCCUCCCCCUGCCCCCAGCUGUGGGACUGUCCCUUCUCACAGCCACCACCAACUGACUUCCCCACAGCCUCCAGAUGAGCAAAAAGGUAAAACUCCGGCAUUUUCCACAUCCUCAGCAUCCUCCACCUCCUCAGCUGUUCGCACCCGUGCUGGGAUGCAGCGUUGCCAUCUGGGAAAUGCAGUCAUAAUCGCCUCAGCAUUGCCAUCUGGGAAAUGCAGUCACAAUCACUGCCCUUUACGCCACAUGUCCCCCACCCUGGUGGGGUCAGAUCAAAGGAAUCAGGAGACAGAAAAAGUUUGCUGGGACUGGGAAGGACAGACACAGGAAAACAGAGCAGUGGGCAAGUGUGGCCCCUCACCGUGGAGCCUGAUUCUAGUACCUCUGUGCUCUUUCCCCACCCAAGUAUUGGGUCCCAGCCUCACUGCUGUUGGGAAUGUGAGACAGCAUCCCAUGACACCCCCAUCCCCCUGCCGCCCCAGUAACUCCCCACCUGGGAUCCCAUGAUGCCCCCAUCCCCCUGCCGCCCCAGUAACUCCCCACCUGGGAUCCCAUGAUGCCCCCAUCCCCCUGCUGCCCCAGUAACUCCCCACCUGGGAUCCCAUGACGCCCCCAUCCCUCUGCUGCCCCAGUAACUCCCCACCUGAGAUCCCAUGUGAGCCCAGGCCUGCGGGCAGGGGAUGGAGUGUGCGAAUGCCUCCCCUGCCCGGCCGCAAGGUCAGAGACAGCCAGAGACACAGUGGACUGCAGAGAUCGAGAGACGCGGUGGGGAGACAAAGAGACGGAUAAAGAGAAGCACAGAGAUGGAGAACGAAGUCAGUCAGAGAGACAGAGAUGCUGGGCCAGAGUGACAGCCAGAAAGCCACGGGAUGCCCAGAAGCAGAGACGUCUGCAGAGAGACAGUGAUGGACAAAGAGAAACAGAAACAAGGCGGGAAACAGGAGGAUCGCUUGAGCCCAGGAGAUCGAGACCAGCCUGGGCAACAAACGAAUAGCGUGAGUCAAGAGAAUCCCCUCACUCAGACACCCAGGUUCGGGUCCCAACUUUGUCGCCGUGUGACCUUGGGCAAAUGACCUCACCUCUGAGCCUCAACGUCUUCUUCUGCAAAAUGGGUUAGUGAUCCUGACUAUGGGGCUGUUGAUUCAGGAUUCGGCGGGAACGCCCAGCACUUCCUGAGUACACAAGAGUGCUGAGAAAAUGG
This 1611-nucleotide long non-coding RNA is filed under the name Homo sapiens (human). Its description in RNAcentral is "HSALNT0354959". Lineage: Eukaryota; Metazoa; Chordata; Mammalia; Primates; Hominidae. The record is from RNAcentral.